This 260-nucleotide ribosomal RNA is filed under the name Bacillus sp. EK-CH-I10. RNAcentral's name for it is "partial 16S ribosomal RNA". It matches the Rfam family "Bacterial small subunit ribosomal RNA", at positions 61 to 311 of the family's 1533-position model. The record is from RNAcentral. Lineage: Bacteria; Bacillati; Bacillota; Bacilli; Caryophanales; Bacillaceae.
GUCGAGCGGACAGAUGGGAGCUUGCUCCCUGAAGUCAGCGGCGGACGGGUGAGUAACACGUGGGCAACCUGCCUGUAAGACUGGGAUAACUCCGGGAAACCGGGGCUAAUACCGGAUAAUUCUUUCCCUCACAUGAGGGAAAGCUGAAAGAUGGUUUCGGCUAUCACUUACAGAUGGGCCCGCGGCGCAUUAGCUAGUUGGUGAGGUAACGGCUCACCAAGGCAACGAUGCGUAGCCGACCUGAGAGGGUGAUCGGCCAC